RNAcentral lists this non-coding RNA (117 nucleotides) under Homo sapiens (human). The record is from Rfam by way of RNAcentral. Lineage: Eukaryota; Metazoa; Chordata; Mammalia; Primates; Hominidae.
GCCGGGUGCGGUGGCUCACACCUGUAAUCCUAGCACUUUGGGAGGCUGAGGUGGGCGGAUCACCUGAGGUCAGGAGUUCAAGACCAGCCUGGCUAACAUGGUGAAACCCCAUCUCUU